Molecule: small nuclear RNA, 105 nt
Organism: Mesocricetus auratus (golden hamster)
Lineage: Eukaryota; Metazoa; Chordata; Mammalia; Rodentia; Cricetidae
Source: Ensembl
UUGCUUCAGCAGCACAUUUGCUAAAAUUGGAACAAGACCGAGAAGAUUAGCAUGGCCCCUGUGCUGGUGGAAAUGCAAACUUGUGCGGCCACUUUGGAAAUCACU